ACGGAGGAUGCAAGCGUUAUCCGGAAUCAUUGGGCGUAAAGGGCGUGUAGGCGGUUUGUUAAGUCAUGUGUGAAAUCCCUCGGCUCAACCGGGGAACGACGCAUGAAACUGGCAAGCUAGAGUACCAAAGAGGGUGGUGGAAUUCCCGGUGUAGCGGUGAAAUGCGUAGAUAUCUGGAGGAACACCGGUGGCGAAGGCGACAUCCUGGACCGGUAUUGACGCUGAGGCGCGAAAGCCAGGGGAGCAAACGGGA
Molecule: ribosomal RNA, 253 nt
Filed under: uncultured prokaryote
Description: partial 16S ribosomal RNA
Rfam family: Bacterial small subunit ribosomal RNA
Source: RNAcentral